UGAACGCUGGCGGCGUGCCUAAUACAUGCACGUCGAGCGAACAGAUGAGGAGCUUGCUCCUCUGACGUUAGCGGCGGACGGGUGAGUAACACGUGGAUAACCUACCUAUAAGACUGGGAUAACUUCGGGAAACCGGAGCUAAUACCGGAUAAUAUAUUGAACCGCAUGGUUCACUAGUGAAAGACGGUUUUGCUGUCACUUAUAGAUGGAUCCGCGCCGCAUUAGCUAGUUGGUAAGGUAACGGCUUACCAAGGCAACGAUGCGUAGCCGACCUGAGAGGGUGAUCGGCCACACGGGAACUGAGACACGGUCCAGACUCCUACGGGAGGCAGCAGUAGGGAAUCUUCCGCAAUGGGCGAAAGCCUGACGGAGCAACGCCGCGUGAGUGAUGAAGGUCUUCGGAUCGUAAAACUCUGUUAUUAGGGAAGAACAAAUGUGUAAGUAACUAUGCACGUCUUGACGGUACCUAAUCAGAAAGCCACGGCUAACUACGUG
This 495-nucleotide ribosomal RNA is filed under the name uncultured bacterium. RNAcentral's name for it is "partial 16S ribosomal RNA". It matches the Rfam family "Bacterial small subunit ribosomal RNA", at positions 30 to 507 of the family's 1533-position model. The record is from RNAcentral.